RNAcentral lists this ribosomal RNA (486 nucleotides) under uncultured bacterium. RNAcentral describes it as "bacterial SSU rRNA". It matches the Rfam family "Bacterial small subunit ribosomal RNA", at positions 29 to 485 of the family's 1533-position model. The record is from RNAcentral.
AACGAACGCUGGCGGCGUGGAUAAGACAUGCAAGUCGAACGCUAAUUUCGGGGUAGCAAUAUUCCGGAGUUGGAGUGGCGAAAGGGUGCGUAACAUGUGGGUAAUCUGCCGUGAAGUUUGGGAUAACUUGCUGAAAGGCGAGCUAAUACCGGAUGUAAUCGCUAAGGGAUUCCUCUUGGCGAUUAAAGUUGGGGACCGCAAGGCCUGACGCUUCACGAUGAGCCCGCAUCCUANCAGCUAGUUGGUGAGGUAACGGCUCACCAAGGCUAAGACGGGUAGCUGGUCUGAGAGGACGACCAGCCACACUGGAACUGAGACACGGUCCAGACACCUACGGGUGGCAGCAGUCGAGAAUUUUUCACAAUGGGCGAAAGCCUGAUGGAGCGACGCCGCGGUGGGGGAUGGAAGGGCUUCGGUCCGUAAACCCCUGUCAUUUGCGAACAAACCUUUCCACCCAAUACGUGGAGAGCUGAUUGUAGCGAAAGA